GGAAGCCUCGAGCAGCCGGCGCCGUCUCUGCCCCUGGGCGCCUUAUGGCUUGAAGAGAACAGAAGAGAAAGAGGAGAAGGAAUGAGAAAAAAGGGUGGCAGAGCAGGCUGAGAAUUGCUCAAAAGCUGAUAUAUCACAUCCUAAAGGAACUGGG
Molecule: non-coding RNA, 154 nt
Organism: Kogia breviceps (pygmy sperm whale)
Lineage: Eukaryota; Metazoa; Chordata; Mammalia; Artiodactyla; Physeteridae
Source: RefSeq, a predicted model, not a curated record